GAUGAAGAACGUAGCGAAAUGCGAUAAGUAAUGUGAAUUGCAGAAUUCAGUGAAUCAUCGAAUUUUUGAACGCAUAUUGCGCCCUUUGGUAUUCCAAUGGGCACAUCCGUUCGAGCGUCAUUACAACAUUCAGGCCCUGCCUGGUAUUGGGAGCGGCCCUUGUACGGGGGCCCUCCUCAAACUCCUCGGCGUCGCCGACUCGUCCUCUAGCGCAGCGAGAAUAACAAUUUCCAGCGUUAAAGAGGCGGUCCUCGACCCGCCGGAAUCAAUUUUUAUAUUCAAUGUUUGACCUCGGAUCGGAUGGGGAUACCCGCUGAACUUAAGCAUAUCAAUAAGCGGAGGA
RNAcentral lists this unclassified non-coding RNA (343 nucleotides) under soil metagenome. RNAcentral's name for it is "partial contains 5.8S ribosomal RNA, internal transcribed spacer 2, and large subunit ribosomal RNA". The stretch from base 1 to 120 matches the Rfam family "5.8S ribosomal RNA", at positions 35 to 154 of the family's 154-position model. The record is from RNAcentral.